AUGAAUGGAUACUCUGAGAUAGAACGAGAAAAAGCAAAUUUGAUUAAUGCUACUUCUAUUAGUUUGGCAAUGAAUCAGGUCCGACAGCGGGUUUUCCAACAGGCCGUACAAGGAGCUCUAGGAACUCUGAAUAGUUGUUUGAAUACCGAGUUACAUUUCCGUACGAUUCGUGCUAAUAUUGGCAUUCUCGGGUCCCUGGAAUGGAAGAGAUAA
RNAcentral lists this ribosomal RNA (213 nucleotides) under Triticum aestivum (bread wheat). RNAcentral's name for it is "partial small subunit ribosomal RNA". Lineage: Eukaryota; Viridiplantae; Streptophyta; Magnoliopsida; Poales; Poaceae. The record is from RNAcentral.